This 242-nucleotide non-coding RNA is filed under the name Heliomicrobium modesticaldum. RNAcentral's name for it is "Heliobacterium modesticaldum T-box sequence". It matches the Rfam family "T-box leader". From Rfam's summary of the family: Uncharged tRNA acts as the effector for transcription antitermination of genes in the T-box leader family. The record is from RNAcentral. Lineage: Bacteria; Bacillati; Bacillota; Clostridia; Eubacteriales; Heliobacteriaceae.
CCAAUAGUGAUGAUGGGGAAGAGUAACCGUCUCAUCCGCACAGACAGCGAACCGGGGUAGGUGGGAGCCGGACUGGCGGAAACGGUGAAAGCCACCCUUAAACUGCAACCUGAGCCGCUGAGCAUAAUAUGCUGGUGGGGUAAGGGAUGCCGGCAUUCCUCCGUUAUCGGGAAAUUGAGUGGACCGGCGCAUUAUCGCCGGUAACCAGGGUGGUACCGCGAAGCCAGGCCUUCGUCCCUUUU